GCUUGGAUAGGGCGCAUUCGUAAUGCGAAGGUCGUCGGUUCGACUCCGGCUUUGGGCA
This 58-nucleotide transfer RNA is filed under the name Candidatus Protochlamydia naegleriophila. RNAcentral's name for it is "Protochlamydia naegleriophila tRNA". Lineage: Bacteria; Pseudomonadati; Chlamydiota; Chlamydiia; Parachlamydiales; Parachlamydiaceae. The record is from Rfam by way of RNAcentral.